CCUCUUCCCAGAUGGUAACACUGUGAGAUAUCACUGCAACAUGAAACCUUGUUUGGUGAUGUGUUGUUGAUGUAGAUGCUCACACCCCGACCUCUUGUAAGCCUCAUCCCAGAUGGUAACACU
Long non-coding RNA from Haliotis rubra (blacklip abalone), 123 nucleotides. RefSeq lists it as uncharacterized. Lineage: Eukaryota; Metazoa; Mollusca; Gastropoda; Lepetellida; Haliotidae. The transcript has 2 exons. The record is from RefSeq and is a predicted model, not a curated record.